CGCCUAGCUUUAAGCUCGCAGC
RNAcentral lists this unclassified non-coding RNA (22 nucleotides) under Chlamydomonas reinhardtii. Its description in RNAcentral is "small RNA Cre_1250". Lineage: Eukaryota; Viridiplantae; Chlorophyta; Chlorophyceae; Chlamydomonadales; Chlamydomonadaceae. The record is from RNAcentral.